Molecule: ribosomal RNA, 456 nt
Filed under: uncultured bacterium
Lineage: Bacteria
Description: partial 16S ribosomal RNA
Rfam family: Bacterial small subunit ribosomal RNA
Source: RNAcentral
UGGGGAAUAUUGCACAAUGGGCGAAAGCCUGAUGCAGCAACGCCGCGUGAGUGAUGAAGGUCUUCGGAUUGUAAAGCUCUGUCUUUUGGGACGAUAAUGACGGUACCAAAGGAGGAAGCCACGGCUAACUACGUGCCAGCAGCCGCGGUAAUACGUAGGUGGCGAGCGUUGUCCGGAUUUACUGGGCGUAAAGGGUGCGUAGGCGGAUGUUUAAGUGAGAUGUGAAAUACCCGGGCUUAACUUGGGUGCUGCAUUUCAAACUGGANAUCUAGAGUGCAGGAGAGGAGAAUGGAAUUCCUAGUGUAGCGGUGAAAUGCGUAGAGAUUAGGAAGAACACCAGUGGCGAAGGCGAUUCUCUGGACUGUAACUGACGCUGAGGCACGAAAGCGUGGGUAGCAAACAGGAUUAGAUACCCUGGUAGUCCACGCCGUAAACGAUGAGUACUAGGUGUAGGAG